UACGGGGGGAGCAAGCGUUGUUCGGAUUUACUGGGCGUAAAGGGCGCGUAGGCGGCGCAACAAGUCACUUGUGAAAUCUCCGGGCUUAACCCGGAGCGGCCAAGUGAUACUGUCGUGCUAGAGUGCGGAAGGGGCUACUGGAAUUCUCGGUGUAGCGGUGAAAUGCGUAGAUAUCGAGGGGAACACCUGCGGCGAAGGCAGGUAGCUGGGCCGACACUGACGCUGAGGCGCGAAAGCCAGGGGAGCGAACGGG
Molecule: ribosomal RNA, 253 nt
Filed under: uncultured bacterium
Lineage: Bacteria
Description: partial 16S ribosomal RNA
Rfam family: Bacterial small subunit ribosomal RNA
Source: RNAcentral